ACUGGGUCGCUGCCGGCUAUCGGCGAAUCAACUGGCUAUCCGUCCAAAGCGCUCUCAUUAUCGCGCAAAUCCCCGUGGGGCUAUGCGCGGGCUUUUAUCUCAAAUUCAUCGGAGCCGUCCCCUCAUUGGUCUUUCUUGCCCUUGUGUCACUGACGAUGGGUUGGGUCUUCCUAAGCGCCUGCAUAUCUAAGAGAUGGAAACAGUUCUUUAGUGUUGUACACCUAUUCGCCGUGGCCGCACUGUGGGUAGCCUUCUUUGCGGCAGGGCCUUACCGCCCCUAUUUCGUUGCGGCUAUGGUUGUAUCAACCGCCGUUUCGAUCUGGGUAGCGUAUCGAAAUGUGAUCAAUCGGGAGAUCGAAAGUGAAAAAUCUGACAAUGCGUUGGGGGUAUCUACCUAAAAACCCGUUGUGACCUGUGGGUUUGUGUCAACAGGUCGUGGUGUGUACAUUUAAUCAAGUCGCCGCGACCGACACCGCCUCACACAAGUGAGAGCAGGUGGGAGGAAAACAAGCUGGUUGACAAAAAUACAUGUAAUUCUUCACCGAGCAUCAUUGUUUCAUGGUGGUGUGUGGUGGUGUGAUUGUGUUGUUUGAGAACUCAAUAGUGUGCGAAUCCUAAUGAGGGUGUUUUUAGUGGCAUGUCCUGGACCCGAAGCGGGGUGAUCUACCCAUGGCCAGUGUGAAGCAGCUGUAAGAGGUUGUGGAGGCGCGAACCCACUUAGGUUGAAAACUGAGGGGAUGAGCUGUGGGUAGGGGUGAAAGGCCAAUCAAACUCCGUGAUAGCUGGUUCUCCCCGAAAUGCAUUUAGGUGCAGCGUUGUGUGUUUCUUGCUGGAGGUAGAGCUACUGGUUGGUUGAGCGGGACUACAAUCUUAGCAAUGUCAGCCAAACUCCGAAUGCCGGUAAUGUUAAGCAUGGCAGUGAGACUGCGGGGGAUAAGCUCCGUUGGUCGAGAGGGAAACAGCCCAGAUCGCCGGUUAAGGCCCCUAAGGGUGUACUAAGUGGAAAAGGAUGUGGGAUCGCGAAGACAGCCAGGAGGUUGGCUUAGAAGCAGCCAUCCUUGAAAGAGUGCGUAAUAGCUCACUGGUCGAGUGGUUCUGCGCCGACAAUGUAGUGGGGCUCAAGUACACCGCCGAAGCCGCGGCAGUCAACAAUGUGUUUUGUUGGUUGGGUAGGGGAGCGUCGUGCACUGCUGUGAAGCACCUGGGUGACUUGAUGGUGUGGAGUGUGUGCGAGUGAGAAUGCAGGCAUGAGUAACGAAUGAAAAGUGGAAAACUUUUCCGCCGGAUGACUAAGGGUUCCUGGGUUAAGCUAAUCUUCCCAGGGUGAGUCGGGACCUAAGGCGAGGCCGACAGGCGUAGUCGAUGGAUAACCAGUUGAUAUUCUGGUACCCGUGUAUGUGCGCCCAGUGGUGAAUCAGUGGUACUAACCAUCCAUUGAUCUGCUGGUCAUGCUUUGUGUGUGGUUGGUGGUGAUGUGCGUGGGAUCUUCGUUGGUAGUAGCCAAGUGAUGGGGUGACGCAGUGAGGUAGCCGAGCCAUUUAUUGGAUUGUGGUGUAAGCGUGUGGCCCGUGGCAUAGGUAAAUCCGUGUCGCAUAUUUGGGUGAGGCGUGAUGCGUAGACCUUUGUGGUUGAUGUUGGUGAUCCUGUACUGUCGAGAAAAGCCUCUAGCGAGUGCAUAUAUGGCCCGUACCCAUAACCGACACAGGUGGUCAGGUAGAGAAUACUAAGGCGAUCGGGUGAACUGUGGUUAAGGAACUCGGCAAAUUGCCCCCGUAACUUCGGGAGAAGGGGGACCAUUGCUGGUGACCGACGUGGUUGAGCUGGUGGUGGUCGCAGAGAAUAGAGGGAAGCGACUGUUUAUUAAAAACACAGGUCCGUGCGAAAACGUGGAAGUUGAUGUAUACGGACUGACGCCUGCCCGGUGCUGGAAGGUUAAGAGGACCUGUUAGGGCAUUUUUUGUCCGAAGCGGAGAAUUUAAGCCCCAGUAAACGGCGGUGGUAACUAUAACCAUCCUAAGGUAGCGAAAUUCCUUGUCGGGUAAGUUCCGACCUGCACGAAUGGCGUAACGACUUCCCUGCUGUCUCAACCACAGGCCCGGUGAAAUUGCAGUACGAGUAAAGAUGCUCGUUACGCGCGGCAGGACGAAAAGACCCCGGGACCUUCACUAUAGCUUGGUAUUGGUGUUUGGUUCGGUUUGUGUAGGAUAGGUGGGAGACUGUGAAGUGGUCACGCUAGUGGUUGUGGAGUCGAAAGUUGAAAUACCACUCUGAUCGGAUUGAGCACCUUAACCUUGGCCCAUGAUCUGGGUUGGGGACAGUGCCUGGUGGGUAGUUUAACUGGGGCGGUUGCCUCCUAAAGUGUAACGGAGGCGCCCAAAGGUUCCCUCAGCCUGGUUGGCAAUCAGGUGGUGAGUGUAAGUGCACAAGGGAGCUUGACUGUGAGACUGACAGGUCGAGCAGGGACGAAAGUCGGGACUAGUGAUCCGGCACCUACUUGUGGAAGUGGUGUCGCUCAACGGAUAAAAGGUACCCCGGGGAUAACAGGCUGAUCUUCCCCAAGAGUCCAUAUCGACGGGAUGGUUUGGCACCUCGAUGUCGGCUCGUCGCAUCCUGGGGCUGGAGUAGGUCCCAAGGGUUGGGCUGUUCGCCCAUUAAAGCGGCACGCGAGCUGGGUUUAGAACGUCGUGAGACAGUUCGGUCUCUAUCCGCCGCGCGCGUUGAAACUUGAAGAAGGCUGUCCCUAGUACGAGAGGACCGGGACGGACGUACCUCUAGUGUGCCAGUUGUCACGCCAGUGGCAGGGCUGGUUGGCUACGUACGGGAGGGAUAACCGCUGAAAGCAUCUAAGCGGGAAGCCUGUUUUGAGAUGAGGUUUCUUUU
Molecule: ribosomal RNA, 2880 nt
Filed under: Corynebacterium diphtheriae
Lineage: Bacteria; Bacillati; Actinomycetota; Actinomycetes; Mycobacteriales; Corynebacteriaceae
Description: bacterial LSU rRNA
Rfam family: Bacterial large subunit ribosomal RNA (bases 418-2880)
Source: RNAcentral